UGCAGUCGACGCUUUGUGGUCCAACUGAUUUGAAGAGCUUGCUCAGAUAUGACGAUGGACAUUGCAAAGAGUGGCGAACGGGUGAGUAACACGUGGGAAACCUACCUCUUAGCAGGGGAUAACACUUGGAAACAAGUGCUAAUACCGUAUAACACUAAUAACCGCAUGGUUAUUAGUUAAAAGAUGGUCUUGCUAUCACUAAGAGAUGGUCCCGCGGUGUAUUAGCUAGUUGGUAAGGUAAUGGCUUACCAAGGCAAUGAUACAUAGCCGAGUUGAGAGACUGAUCGGCCACAAUGGGACUGAGACACGGCCCAUACUCCUACGGGAGGCAGCAGUAGGGAAUCUUCCACAAUGGACGAAAGUCUGAUGGAGCAACGCCGCGUGUGUGAUGAAGGGUUUCGGCUCGUAAAACACUGUUGUAAGAGAAGAAUGACAUUGAGAGUAACUGUUCAGUGUGUGACGGUAUCUUACCAGAAAGGAACGGCUAAAUACGUGCCAGCAGCCGCGGUAAUACGUAUGUUCCAAGCGUUAUCCGGAUUUAUUGGGCGUAAAGCGAGCGCAGACGGUUAUUUAAGUCCGAAGUGAAAGCCCACAGCUUAACUGUGGAAGUGCUUUGGAAACUGGAUAACUUGAGUGCAGUAGAGGAGAGUGGAACUCCAUGUGUAGCGGUGAAAUGCGUAGAUAUAUGGAAGAACACCAGUGGCGAAGGCGGCUCUCUGGACUGUAACUGACGUUGAGGCUCGAAAGUGUGGGUAGCAAACAGGAUUAGAUACCCUGGUAGUCCACACCGUAAACGAUGA
This 800-nucleotide ribosomal RNA is filed under the name Weissella viridescens. RNAcentral describes it as "bacterial SSU rRNA". It matches the Rfam family "Bacterial small subunit ribosomal RNA", at positions 56 to 812 of the family's 1533-position model. Lineage: Bacteria; Bacillati; Bacillota; Bacilli; Lactobacillales; Lactobacillaceae. The record is from RNAcentral.